RNAcentral lists this small nucleolar RNA (128 nucleotides) under Carlito syrichta (Philippine tarsier). RNAcentral's name for it is "Small nucleolar RNA SNORA70 (ENSTSYG00000024912.2)". It matches the Rfam family "Small nucleolar RNA SNORA70", at positions 30 to 135 of the family's 135-position model. Rfam says of the family: snoRNA U70 seems to be exclusive to mammals and is a member of the H/ACA class of snoRNA which contain H (ANANNA) and ACA box motifs. Lineage: Eukaryota; Metazoa; Chordata; Mammalia; Primates; Tarsiidae. The record is from RNAcentral.
UUAUUAGAUAUGUAAGAGUCAAAAACAUCUGGGGGCCUGGUGAGUAAUAGCUGCAAAUAGCAGCCUCUUUAGUAGAAUACACAGCCUGUUUCUUGUAUAGGUUGCUCUAAGGGAUCUUGAAGACAGCC